UUCCGGUUGAUCCUGCCGGAGGCCAUUGCUAUCGGAGUCCGAUUUAGCCAUGCUAGUCGCACGAAUUUAGAUUCGUGGCAUAUAGCUCAGUAACACGUGGCCAAACUACCCUACAGACCGCGAUAACCUCGGGAAACUGAGGCCAAUAGCGGGUAUCACUCUCACGCUGGAGUGCCGAGAGUGAGAAACGUUCCGGCGCUGUAGGAUGUGGCUGCGGCCGAUUAGGUAGAUGGUGGGGUAACGGCCCACCGUGCCGAUAAUCGGUACAGGUUGUGAGAGCAAGAGCCUGGAGACGGUAUCUGAGACAAGAUACCGGGCCCUACGGGGCGCAGCAGGCGCGAAACCUUUACACUGCACGACAGUGCGAUAGGGGGACUCCGAGUGUGAGGGCAUAUAGCCCUCGCUUUUCUGUACCGUAAGGUGGUACAGGAACAAGGACUGGGCAAGACCGGUGCCAGCCGCCGCGGUAAUACCGGCAGUCCAAGUGAUGGCCGAUAUUAUUGGGCCUAAAGCGUCCGUAGCUUACUGUGUAAGUCCAUUGGGAAAUCGACCAGCUCAACUGGUCGGCGUCCGGUGGAAACUACACAGCUUGGGGCCGAGAGACUCAACGGGUACGUCCGGGGUAGGAGUGAAAUCCUGUAAUCCUGGACGGACCACCAAUGGGGAAACCACGUUGAGAGACCGGACCCGACAGUGAGGGACGAAAGCCAGGGUCUCGAACCGGAUUAGAUACCCGGGUAGUCCUGGCUGUAAACAAUGCUCGCUAGGUAUGUCACGCGCCAUGAGCACCUGAUGUGCCGUAGUGAAGACGAUAAGCGAGCCGCCUGGGAAGUACGUCCGCAAGGAUGAAACUUAAAGGAAUUGGCGGGGGAGCACCACAACCGGAGGAGCCUGCGGUUUAAUUGGAUUCAACGCCGGG
RNAcentral lists this ribosomal RNA (919 nucleotides) under haloarchaeon SC7. RNAcentral's name for it is "bacterial SSU rRNA". It matches the Rfam family "Archaeal small subunit ribosomal RNA", at positions 1 to 922 of the family's 1478-position model. Lineage: Archaea; Methanobacteriati; Methanobacteriota; Halobacteria; Halobacteriales; Halobacteriaceae. The record is from RNAcentral.